RNAcentral lists this unclassified non-coding RNA (271 nucleotides) under Geoglossum sp. RNAcentral's name for it is "partial contains 5.8S ribosomal RNA, internal transcribed spacer 2, and large subunit ribosomal RNA". RNAcentral also lists the same sequence under 2 other names. Lineage: Eukaryota; Fungi; Ascomycota; Geoglossomycetes; Geoglossales; Geoglossaceae. The record is from RNAcentral.
AACGCACAUUGCGCCCUUUGGCAUUCCGAAGGGCAUGCCUGUUCGAGCGUCAUGAUCAAACCUCAAGCCUUGCUUGGUAUUGGGUUUUCGUCUUCCCCGUGGAUUGUAUUGAAUACAAUAUUACGGGUACUGGCGUGCCUGAAAUUCAUUAGCGGUGUCUCAAUAGACUCAAGCGUAGCAGACUGACUCGCUUUGGAGAACUUUUGUGGGCACUGUCAAUAAAAUAGUUAAAUUGGACCUCGGAUCAGGUAGGGAUACCCGCUGAACUUAA